RNAcentral lists this transfer RNA (85 nucleotides) under Felis catus (domestic cat). It matches the Rfam family "tRNA". From Rfam's summary of the family: Transfer RNA (tRNA) molecules are approximately 80 nucleotides in length. The record is from Rfam by way of RNAcentral. Lineage: Eukaryota; Metazoa; Chordata; Mammalia; Carnivora; Felidae.
GCCUGAGUGGCUCAGUUGGUUAAGUGUCUGACUUCAGCUCAGAUCAUGAUCUCACGACUUGUGAGUUCAAUCCCCUCAUUGGGCU